Molecule: long non-coding RNA, 1754 nt
Organism: Coturnix japonica (Japanese quail)
Lineage: Eukaryota; Metazoa; Chordata; Aves; Galliformes; Phasianidae
Source: Ensembl
GCCAAAUGAGAUCUUGUGUGAGUUUGUUUGUCCAGUGCUCUUUCUGCUGCCAUAUGCUCAGAGGCUUAUGCUGAGGCUGCCUUAGGUGCACCACAUGCAAAUUCAUCAUCUAUGAGCUGGCUGUUGUGAAGGGAGUCUUGACUUGCUUCCUGUUCUCAGUAGGUUGAUUUCUACAGCUGCUUGUAUUUAAAUCUGCCCAUACUUGUGGCUGAUGUAAGAGGUGGGAUGAGUGUUUCUCACCUGGGUCUGGAGGCAAAGUCAGAUAUCAGAACUGUAGUUCAUAGGAGCUGCACCAGCAAAACAGCUGCAGAGCAGCUUGGGUGAGCCUCUCAUGCCUGCCAAGAGAUCCCUUAGAUCCUACAUUUUCUGUUCCAGUUCAGCUUUGUUUAUAGUGCUAUUGCAGAGUAACAGUCUCGUGUACAUAGAAAUAGCCUGACCUGUGUAUGUCAUUCAGCUCUUAUUAGCAGUUUUAAUCCCUCGGUCCUGCACCAGUCUCCUCUGCCUGGCACAAUGGAAGCAGCAUCAGAUGGUCAAACAAUGUAAGUUUGAGGGGUUUUUGGCUGGGCUGUUCUCUUAUAUCUGCAGAGGUGGAGGGUAGAUGCAUUUGAUGCUGGAGAAUUUCACUGAACACAAAAUAAGCUCAAUGCCAGGCUGUGCCAGCUCCCCAGGGUCAGACCCUGCCAUGGAUUAGAAAUGUGUCUGCUCUUUUCAUCUCUCUAAACGCACAUCUGAAAGUGAGACAUCUGAAUGUGAGCUUAUCACCCCAGGCUUUCUGUAUAACUCAGACAAGAGUCUAAUUUUUACACGUUCAAGAGUGAAAAGAUGAAUCCCACCUGAUGUUUCAAAUGUUGACUUUGUAAUAAAAAUCUGCCAAAGCUUUACCCUUGCUGAUGCCUUGAUAAUUUUUCUUUUUCUGAUUUUCAGAGGCCUCUUGGAUCAAGCUGGAGAAAUAGUGAAGCUCAUGAAAGAGAACCAGAUGAUGGACUUCCAAAAUGAUUGGAAACUGAUCACAGUUUUCUUUAGUGCUGAAACCCCGUGCUCUUCUUGUGCUUCCACACAACCGGUAAUCUUGUCAUGGGGUCGUUUAGCAGUCAAAGUGUGUGAUUCGAUCACUUUUGCAAGCUCUACCCUUUGUUGUAGUGAACCAAAGCAGUAGCUGGUUCCAGAAGAUUGGAGUGAUUCUAUUCAGUAGCAUGAGCUUCUGGUCCACAAAGUCUUUUGUACUUAGAAACAUGUACUUGAUUUAGAAUUCCAAAUCUGAGAUGCAGUAGUAGAACAGUUCUGAUUCGUUUUUAAGCUGUUUCUCAUCACAUUUAUAGAAGAACUGCAUAUUGGACAACCUGGAAAAACUUCAAGAAGUCUUGGACUUUUUAUAUAAAGAAGUAAGACUUAUUCAUCAGUUUUCAAUACCUGAAUCCUCUGCUGAUUUAUUUAUUUUUUUCUGUCUUAUUGAACUCUGGCUUGUAUCAGUGUUCAAGUGAUUCACAACACAAAUCUCACUGACUUUAAUCCUCUAGCACUAUUCAUUGCCAGUAAGUGUUUUAUUUGUGCUUUAAAAAUCUGAUGCAUAUGAAGAGAAAGGACAGACAGGUAACAGCUUAGCUUUGUUACUUGGACUGAUGUGCUACUUAAUCUAGGCUGUUUAUUUUUAAAGUGAUUUGCAUGAAAAAUGGGCUAGAUCAAUCUAAAUCUAGAUGUUCCUUUCUAAUAGUGGUCUUUAUGAAAAUAAAUGUAAUUAUUGGAUAUGUGGAGCA